Cucumis sativus (cucumber) is the source of this 787-nucleotide long non-coding RNA. RefSeq lists it as uncharacterized. The record is from RefSeq and is a predicted model, not a curated record. NCBI's taxonomy places the organism in Eukaryota, Viridiplantae, Streptophyta, Magnoliopsida, Cucurbitales, Cucurbitaceae. The transcript is spliced from 2 exons.
AUUGUUUGAGCAUCCUCUGUUUAUUAGUUGCGGGUUUAAAAUCUUCUGUGCGAAUCUCGCAGUCAAAAUUUGUGGGUCUAUUUCAGAGGCCAAAGAACUCACCCGGCUUCGAGAACUGAUAGUUUCUCUUUCCACCCUUGGGACUUUCAUGUGAUUGAAGAGGAGAGGAAGCAGAUGCUCGGUGGGGGGUGGGUUACAACCCUUGAGUCCUUGACAUUCCCCCUUUCUUACGAACAAGGGAGUUUAUAGAAUCAUUGGCGGCAUGGUGCGGUGGUCUUGAUGAAGAAGAAGAUCCUUUCUUCAAGGAAAAUGGGACGAGGAAAGUGUGUAAGCCUUAGGCAAGGAGGAUGGAUUCGCUAUGGUGUGUUGUAUCGUGAAUUACCAAGGUUUUAAUACCCCAUCAGACUUUUCACAGGCCGGAGCGAAUAAGGCGUGGUUUAGAAACCGUCAGAAGAUGGCAAAACUUGACUUUCAGAAAAGCGUAUUGCAGACAAACACCAUCUGUCAUAAGUUUGUCCAGUAGUUAUGUGAAAGCACGUAUGUACCAUAAAUAGUUUGGUUUUGUUUCUUCCUGUAACUAGUUUGACUGAUAUUUUUUAGAUGCGCUAUAAUGUCAUGGAGUUAUUGCAAAUAGUUAAACUAGAGCAAAUGGUUUGUUAUUAUUGCUAAAGUUUAACCCAAAUUUUGCAUCAUGAGAUAGACUUUGGUGUAUGCCUGCAUAUCUACAAAUUUUGGUUGUAAGUUUAGUUGCCUAAAUUUUAAAUGAAAACUCUGUCGUUGAGUUUUC